RNAcentral lists this ribosomal RNA (402 nucleotides) under uncultured bacterium. RNAcentral's name for it is "bacterial SSU rRNA". It matches the Rfam family "Bacterial small subunit ribosomal RNA", at positions 355 to 774 of the family's 1533-position model. The record is from RNAcentral.
UGGGGAAUCUUGCACAAUGGGGGCAACCCUGAUGCAGCGACGCCGCGUGAGCGAUGAAGCCCUUCGGGGCGUAAAGCUCUUUCGACCGGAACGAUAAUGACGGUACCGGGAGAAGAAGCUGCGGCUAACUACGUGCCAGCAGCCGCGGUAAUACGUAGGCAGCAAGCGUUGUUCGGAGUUACUGGGCGUAAAGAGUGCGUAGGCGGUUUUCUAAGUUCGGUGUGAAAUCUCCCGGCUUAACUGGGAGGGUGCGCCGAAGACUGGGAAGAUGGAGUGUGGGAAAGGCAGGCGGAAUUCCUGGUGUAGUGGUGAAAUGCGUAGAUAUCAGGAGGAACACCGGCGGUGUAGACGGCUUGCUAGACCAUAACUGACGCUGAGGCACGAAAGCGUGGGUAGCAAACA